RNAcentral lists this long non-coding RNA (393 nucleotides) under Citrus sinensis (sweet orange). RNAcentral describes it as "long non-coding RNA (CSIN_LNC005584)". The record is from RNAcentral. Lineage: Eukaryota; Viridiplantae; Streptophyta; Magnoliopsida; Sapindales; Rutaceae.
AAACAUCCUAUUCAAUUAGAACUCUAGCGACCGAGGGUCGAUUAACAGCAGCAGUAGCAUGGUCUACCUGCAGAGGCUUACCAAUAGCAUUAGCAAUAAAAAAUAAGGCAUCUUUGCAAUGAAUAAAAUACACUGGUGAAUACGGCAAAGAAACUCAGAUAGGAACAAUAGAAGAUUUCUUAGAGGUCCAAAUUAAAGUCUAUGAGACUACACUACAUAAGGCUCAAACCCAAAACCUAAGUCUUGGUAUGGCUGCCCACCUAAAUCCACUUGGAUAAUGUUCAGAUGUAUUUUAGAUAAUGUGUUUUAGUCUGUGAGGGUUGACACAAUAGAGUUUAGAUUUGAGAUGUUUAUGGUUGCGAAGCUUUGUAAGUGAUCUUGAUCCAUUGUAAA